Molecule: small nuclear RNA, 313 nt
Filed under: Jaculus jaculus (lesser Egyptian jerboa)
Lineage: Eukaryota; Metazoa; Chordata; Mammalia; Rodentia; Dipodidae
Description: 7SK RNA (ENSJJAG00000006028.1)
Rfam family: 7SK RNA
About the family: 7SK was discovered as an abundant small nuclear RNA in the mid-70s but a possible function has only recently been suggested. Two independent studies have found that 7SK RNA binds the CDK9/cyclin T complex (known as elongation factor P-TEFb). P-TEFb activates transcription by phosphorylating the C-terminal domain of RNA polymerase II.
Source: Rfam by way of RNAcentral
GGGUGUGAGGGCGAUCUGGCUGCAACAUCUGUCACCCCACUGAUCGCCAGGGUUGAUUCAGCUGAUCUGGCUGACUAGGCAGGUGUCCCCUUCCUCCCUCACUACUCCACGUGUGUCCCUCCCAAAGCUUUGCACUCGGUCAAAGAGGACGGCCUUCCCUGAAUACAGGACUGGUCUUCCGUCAAGGGUAUACGAGUAGCUGAACUCCCCUGCUAGAACCUCCAAACAAGCUCUCAAGAUAGCUGUAGUGCAUUGUUUAAGGGAUGAUGACAAGAAAAGGGGUGUGUACAUGUUCUGUACAAAUGCUGUUUUU